Molecule: long non-coding RNA, 85 nt
Organism: Varanus komodoensis (Komodo dragon)
Lineage: Eukaryota; Metazoa; Chordata; Lepidosauria; Squamata; Varanidae
Exons: 3
Source: RefSeq, a predicted model, not a curated record
UUGCCAUGGAGAAUGCCCAGCUGAGGGGAAGACUUCAGCACUUGAGCCAAUUAGAAGAAAGGCAAAGUCAAAGAAGGAGGGACAG